Long non-coding RNA from Heterocephalus glaber (naked mole-rat), 14765 nucleotides. The record is from Ensembl. Lineage: Eukaryota; Metazoa; Chordata; Mammalia; Rodentia; Bathyergidae.
UGUAGAACAUGUACAACUUUUUGUUUCUUGAAGUUAAGUAUUGUCUUUUAUACUAAAACAUUUGAAAAGUUUUAGUUAGAUAUAAUUUGGCUGUCAGGUAUUCCAGUAUGAUUGUACAGGAAAUUUAUUAUAAAUGUAUGGCAAUCUGUAAAGUCAGAAUAUUCCUUUUUGUUUUCUUUGGACCUAGUGUUAAUCCAGGAUGCUUUAUUCAAUCAAAAAGUUAAUAAAUUAUGUCACUUAAGAAUAUUUAAAUGGCUAAAAAUACCGUUUAAAUCCUUAUGUGAAUUUUUUUUUAAAGCAUGGCUGGAGUGUUUCCAGUAACCAGAUACUAUUGUGUGAAUACAUGUGUUCUUGAUGUGCAGUGGUUCUAUAAGUGGUUCUAUACUAGUUUUUUUUGUUUGUUUUUUUGGCAGUUGUUAAUGAUUUAUGUCUUGCCAAGUGACCUAGGGACCUCAGACUGUUCUGCCUUGUGGGACCUAAAAAGUGGGAACGAAAAAGAUAAAGAACAAUAUAGAUGCUAAAUGUUGUGAUAAGUAUUUAUUUUGUGCACAUGCUUCCUUAAUACCAAGUGUGCUGCAGUGGAGUGAAAAUCUGAAAUUAGUUUUUCUCCAAAUCUGCAGUUAAUAUUUACUGAACUUUGGCAACAAUGAGUUUAUUCCAGGUUGGUGUGAUUUCUGUCCCUGGAGUGGAAUCUUAAGAAGUGAAGUUUAACUUUUUAUUUGACGUUUCUGCCAUUUCCCUUUUGUCCAGGAGUUUUGUCUUUGUUUAGACUAUAUUUUUUAUGUGUUUUAUUAAAAAUGGCUUGUCUUAGUAGAUUGAAAAGGACCAUUUGCUAAAAAUUGGACUUGAGAUCCAGGGACCCUUUAAGCUUUGCAAAAUACUGUAUUUUGGAGGAAGUUGCUAUUUCAAUAAUACAAAGUAAAGUUCAGUAACCUUAGUAAUUACACCACCUGAUAAAAUAGAUAACAUUUUUUAAAGUACAUUGGGUGAAGUCUUAAGAAAAGUUUUCAUCUCUAAUGUAUCUCUAAGAAAUUUUAAUUCUUGAAUAGACAGGUAAUUAUUUGACAGUUCUGGAGUUAAUUUCUAAGCUAGAUUUUUCAGAAAGAAAAAAGUCAAAAUAUAUAAUGGUUUAUUUAAAAUCUAAUAGUUGACCUGAAUUCUUGAACCUUUUGUAUUGAUGGAAAUGUAAUUGUUUCAGUUUGGCUAUUUAAUGAAAAACAUUGCUUUAAAUUUUUAAAAAUUCCAUGUUUUUGGUGCUUUGGAAAAAGGUAUGCUGUGGCAUUUGUGUCUGUUUUAAAAGCUUGAUUAUACUAGCACCAUUUUUUUAAAAAAUGGAACCUGUGAUGAGCCUGCUGAGGAUGGUUUCUUAUGCUAGCACAUAAGUCAGAUUUCAACGGAGUUUUAAAUGGUUAACUCCCUGGAUGCUGAACCUGUAUACUUAACUGUUCAGAACUUCCUUGGACUUGGAUUAAGAUUUAAUUCUAAUGAACAAGCUAAUAAAUGAAUAUGUUUAGUGUGGUUGGCAGUAUUGUGUAGAGUUUAGAGAUUUUGUUUCUGGUUAAGUGUACAACAUUUUACGUUGGAUCUGUUAAGAUUUUUUUCCCCUUGGGUAUGAUAAUAUAUACUAGCAAACAAUGUAAGUAUAAUUUAAAUGUAGCCAUCUUAAGAUACCAAUACUUGAACAAGUUGAUUACUGACUCAUCUGUAAUUAACCUGGGGAGAAAACAUCUUUGACCUGAGGCUUACCAGUGCUUUUUGGCUUUGACAGCCUGAAAACUUCUGAGAAAAAAAGGAACUUAAUGUGCUUUUGCAGGCUGUGCAUGUACAUGUCUUAUUUUUAGUCUGCAUAUAGAAGGCUAUCACUUAACAUUCUAUUUAACGCUGUUUAUAAAGUAUCAGACAUUCACUAAAAACUCUGGAGUCUUUGUUUUACAGGCAAGCCUGUCUUAAGCACAACAAACCAGACUUUGGGUUUUUCCUGUGCAUAAACUUGAAGAGUUCUUCAUACUGAUUCCUGACAAAUUUUGAACUGAAACUGCCUGGAGAAUAGUUUGGUGUACAUUAAAGUUUAUUGUAAAUCUAAUGAAAUACUGUUCUGUUAGUAACUGAGUAAUUGACUACUUUGUAGUUUGUCUAAUAUUGGAGGAUUUUGAGAACUCAGCUGAGCAGUAAAGGUAAGAAGAUCUCCGUAUACAAGGUUCAUUUUGGGUGUCUGACGGGAAGUAAAAGCAUGAGUUUCUAGAGUACUGUAUUCUUCGGCUUAGAGAUGUUUUAAUAGUUUACUCUUUUUUUUUUAAAGCUAUGUUAUAAGUACAUUUUUUUUUUAAUUUAUUUAUUUAUUUGGUACUAGGGAUUGAACUUGGGUCCUUGCGCUUGCAGAGCAGGCUGCGGAACCAGUGAGCUAAAUCCCUGGCCCCUAUAGUUUAUUUCUACUCAGUCUGAACUAAUGUAAAUUUCUCAUUUGGUAGAUAAAACUCAUUGUAUUUACUGAGUUUUAAAAAAUUACUAGGAAAAUGCAUGUACUCUAUGGAUUUUAAGACCCUAGGAAAUGUUGUCAAAGGCAUUUCCAAAUAACCUGAAUACAGAAGCACAGCACUUAGGGAUGCCUGAUUAUGAAUUUAGAAUUUGGUCAUGCUGUUUGAGUUAUUUUAGGGCAAUUAAUAAAAUACUCCAUUUGAAACUGUUUGUUUAAAAAUUACCCAUAAUGAGCAUAUUGGAAUAAAAAGGUUAUUUUUCUGAUGCUGUUUUUUUGUUUUGUUUUGUUCUUAUAAGAGUCUAAAAUUUAAUUGAGGAAGUGGGCAUAGGUACCAGAGUUAAUCUAUACCUAUUUAGUUAAAUCUAGUAAGGUAUCAAGUAAUUCUUAAGUUGACAAUUGAUCUGGAUUCCUAAUAUGUAACUAUUCGAUAAUGAAUGGCUCACUUGUUAGCUUAUUUUAAAUUUGUUGAAUGACAUAGAUGCUUCAAAUCUAGUCACUUGGGAUUUUAUUAAUAACCAUUAUAUUGGCACAUCUCCAUUUUGACUAGGAUCUUAUACAUGUUACUAAGGUGUUUCAGACCCUGUGGUACACUGAAGUUGAAGCCUAGCAGGGAAGCUCAAGGUUUGUGGAAUAAUUUAAAUGCUUUUGCUACUCAUUUGGUUCUAGGGUUGAAUGUUUUCUGUAUUUAGAACAAAUUGAACGAGAUGGUAUGUUCUAAGCAAGCUUCUAAGUUCAGCAGUUUUUAAACGUUGAAAAAAAGUCACAGUAAAUCCUUUGAAAAUAAGGUACUAGAUACAGCUUCAUGAAGUAUGCUGGUGUCCAGUACUUUAAAAAACAAGUAAAUGCCAACACAAAUGUAGAUUUAGUCAUUAUAGGCCAGUUAUUUAACAUAAAGAACAAAACAAAUGGUUGGUAUCCCUUAAAUGAUAAGUAAUUAGCUGAAUGAGCAUUGCUAAGACCAGAGACCUAAAUUUAGGGGUGUGUAUAUAUUUCCUAAGAGAAUUAGCACGUGCCCAUCGUGAUGCUUGUUUACUUGUGUCAACUUCAGUUUGCACAGAGUAAAAUACAUUGAAAGCUUGAAUUCCAAUAACCUGAAAGUGAAUUUUGUACAUAGUUGAGAUUUAACUCCAGGGAGAAUACCUUUGUUUCAGGCGUUAAGACUUCAGUGCAAGAAUAGAUGAAAAUUGGAAGCCUCUUGUAAGGUAGUUUAGGUAAUGUGUCACGUAGUUUGAUCCCUCAACACAAAAGUGCAUGGGUCAGGUUCACCAAAGACUUAAAACUAGAACUUUCAGAGUAAUUAUAAAAUUACUGGGGUACAGUUUUUAACUGUACUUGGGUGAUACAAUUGAUAAUUUGAUAGUUCACAAAAUAGACCUGGACUUUUCAGUCUAGGUAUGUUAGAAUCUUUGAGCAGGCUACUGAACAGACAGGUGUUCUGAGGAAUAUUUUGAUUUUGAUAUAUACUCAGAAUAUAAUCACUACCCUGAGUUGUCAGAAAUGGCACUGAAUGUCAGAGCAACACCUUAGAGUUUGUAGGGAUGUAAGAGACUAAAUAGUUCCAUAGGCAUUCACUCCUUGUUUUAUAGUUAGCUUAUUUUGCUUGCCAUUGCAAUUUUUGGCCAACUUCAAGUUCACGUUUGUUUCUGAAUCUGCAGACUUGCUCACUAUCCAACCGUAGGUAGUAGCUUUCCCCUUACUUGGCUCUCAUACACCACACAUAUAAUGUCUUUGUGUACUAUACAUAGAUUUCCUCAGGGGUUGUUUCAGAACAAGUAAGAGGGUGAAAGAUAUAGGCUACAUUUUCCAGGUAUUGGUCCUCCAGGAUUUGAAUUCCCCUCUAAUAAAUCUUUCAAAUCUAGCCUCAGAACACUUGAAGCAAAACUCCAGAGCUAUAACAAAGCAGCUACUUUAUCUAGGAAUUAUGCUUGGAAUUCUGUCUCAUUACAUUCAUUACUGCAACUCCUAAGGAAUCUCAGUCUAAGCAACACUUGAUUGAGAAUUCCAUGCUUAUUUUUUUAACCCUCAUAAGAAUUUUGUAAUCUCUAAAAUUGUAAGUUAUGCAGUUUCUGCCAUGUCCGAAAUAUUACUAGUGUGUAGAAUGCUUAAACCUUCAAUAGGGCCCAUGAAUGAAUUUCCUAGAAUGAGAGGUUGAGGGGAAGGAAGCAGCAAAAGUGAGAUCAGAUUCUAAUAUAUGUUUGACUUUAUGCAUGUGUAAUCAUCUUGGGGUACAUUUGACAACUUGAAGUAAUUAGUGUUAGCAGGGUUCUUGGCUUAAGUAAGUAGAAUUUAGAGUAAACAUUAAUCCUUCAGCAAAGAUAAAAGAAAGUUUCCUAAAGGUAGAAGGGUCAACAAAGAAAAUCUGAUAAUUCAAAUUAUGUGGGAAUGUAAUGGUGCUCUCUUGGGAAUACUUACCUCCUAAAUCUCACAACGCAACUGACAACAGUGAGGGCACCAAAAAUUCUGUACUUGUACAAAGAAAGGUGAAAAUACUGUACUGAGAGGCAGCAGUUAGUUUAGUAAAGUUAGUAGUUCUCAACAUGAUUAUGUUACCUGAAGUACAGGCUUUUGUUUUUUAAAUCAUGGUUCUUUGUGCUACAGUUUCAAGCUCCUGUUUUUGGUUCAGCAAGCAGUUUAACAUUUCCAUUUCCCUUGUCUAGUACAUUUACAUUUAGAAUAUCAAUACUAACCAAAACUCUUAAUUUUCCAAUAGGUUUCACUCCAAGCAGAAUUUACACAGAAGCUCUACUCUGGUGUAUGAUUAAAUUUUGAGCUGAUUGUUUGGCAAAGUUAUAUAGUAAACCAGUAACACUUGAGACAGGCUGUGUAUGUAUUAUGAGAGAAGAAUGAUAAAGGAUUGAGGAGUCCUGCUGUCACCUCAUAUUACAGAAAAUAAAGACAAGUUGAUAGGCUAGUUGAGGUCUCAGAACUAUACAUAUAUACACAUAUGCCUUAGCACAGUAGGUCUAGUCUGUGGGCUCCAAGAAUAUGUAAAUCCCAUUGUAAAUAUUCUGAGUUGCCACCUGAUAAUUGCCUAAUGGGUCGAGGAGUUUUAAGCAACUACUUAAGGAGUCUUAUUAGAGUUUAAUGUCAGGUUCUGGGUUCAAGUAUCAGUAGCCCCUGUUGGGGCAGUUUUAGUAUUCGACCCCCCAAAUUGUAAGCUCAGCUAGGCUUUUCCAUCGUGGUCAGUGGUGGCUGUCAUGAUUAUCUGGUUCACAUCAGCUGAAAGACCUUCCUUCAAAACAAAAUUUCAUCUCCACUCUGCUUGAACAAAUGUAGAUCUCUGGCCUACCAGAAGUAAGCCUGUGGGGGAGAGGUAAGAUCAAGGUUAGGCCUAAGUCUUAUGAUAAUGACUGACAGGUCCCCUUCCCCUCCCUGAAGCACACAGGAUACACAGGCAGAGUGAUGGUGCAGUUAGUAAGAGAUAAGAAUGCCCUAAGGGUUGAGGAAUAGCACCUUGGUUGACUAGACAGCAAAAAUGGAUUCUCAGAAUUGCAGGAGGGGGUUGAGAAGGUAGCCGCUGAGGCAAGCAACCAGGCUGCAGUGGUGUUCACCUGCUGUUGCUAGGUUCUCAGCUGUAAUGCUACUUCCUCAAAAAGGCCCUCCCUGAGUACCAGCCUUAUCUGAGUACCUGCCAUUUUUAUUCGGUGCACCAAGUAAAACUUUAAGUUGUAUCAAUGAUGUUUGUAUCAUUUUAUUGCCUAUUAUAUUUCAUAGUCCCACUGUAGUUAAUUACCAUAAAUUUAAACCUUAAGUUAAUGAAUUAAGGAAAGUUUUUUCAACAGUCCGUGGAAGGGGACAGAACACAAAGUGACUGGCUUAAGAAUUUUCCUCUGCAGUGCCAGUUUAAGAGGCUUGAAAAAAUGAUUGUAAGUCAAAUAUCCAGUUGCCAUUCUCUGAGUAAAAUGAUUUGCUCAGAACAGAAGGGGUGAUAGUAUACUUCUCACAUUCUCAUUCCAGGAAAAAUGUCUAGAAGUACGUAAGUCAACUAGCAGGUUAAGUCCAGAGAGGGGAAACUGAAAUAAGUGCAACCAGUAGGACGUGUGAACACUGAAGUGAAAUGAAGAUAGCAUCUGCAGAGUCUAAGGCAGUGUUUUUUUAAGUCUCAAAAUUAGCUUAAUCUGGGGCAUGAUCCUUUAGAGAAUAAAUAACACUAUUUUUUGGUUAAGAGAACAAAUGGUUUGAAUGUUUAUUUCAAAGGAAUUAGAAUUAUAUAUAUAUACUAGGACAUCAGUAGAAAAAAGGUACAUCACAAAACAGGAAAUAAGCAUUUUAAUUGAAGUUAAGCACAGAAGUUGUGUUUAUAAAUUAGUUUCUGUUUUAACUCAAGACAGUUAUACUCAAGUUCCAUAACAUACAGACAUUUUUGGCCAUUAGGAAUGUAGAGAUGAUCAAAGUCCUUGACUUUACCUUGAAAUUCUCUGGCCCAAUAGCAAGAUCAUCUGCUAAAUGCCAGAUCUUUGAAAAUGAGGAAGACAUAGUGUAUUCUUUCAAAUGAUUAAGCCUUCAUUAAGUACUUGUUGAAUGAAUUGAAGGUUUCUUUUAAAUAUGACUUGGCCAUUAAUAGAUUCUUUGAUGUAUUGCAGUAGGUAUAUAUCUGUUAACAUUUCUCACCUGAUGCCGAGUUUUGUCCAGACAGCUUGCCUUGGUGAAAAGAACAGAAAAAGAUUGUGUGUGGCAGGGACUGAGGGGCAGUGAAUAUAAAGAAAAUGCUAUCUCUGCACAUUUGUAUGUGAUGUGUAAGGAUGACAGGAGUGGCUGAAUGGGGCAGGACAGUGAUCUGGUUAAUUCUGAGAACUAGUGUGGUAAGAGAAUUCAGAACAAAUCUCAAGAAUAACAAACCUGCCUUUUAAGUAAGGAAGUGGGAAACCAGACCAUGACUUCAGGACUGCCAUUCUCCCAGAUCACUAGUCUUAGUGAUGGCAAACCUUUUCGAGCUUUCCAUGAUUGAUAAUAGUGGGCUACAGCAUGUUUGCCAUCAGUUCGCCACUACUGCCCUAUUCUAAAGGCUAUGUGUCCUCAAGGAUGUUGCAGGUAAUUUUGCGGUAAGCCUUACUAGAAUUAGUGAAAUGAAGUGGUAACUGACACUAAAUGACAGCUUACAAAGUACUACUGGAGCUCAGACAGGGAAAUGACUAAUGCAGUAAGUACUGUGUGCAUUUGGUACCCAUUACAACACACAAGUAAUUAAAAGGGACUUGUUCUCUAAAAGCGUAUGUAAAUAUAGUAAUUAGGUCUCUUUUUUUUUGAUAGUUUGGUUGUAGUGUGUUGAUCCUUGCUUAAUAUGAGGAUUCUAAUAUUGAACGUUUUUUUCCCAGCCAAAAAUGAAAUGUGCAAGUUACUACCAAGUGAAGCCAUUCAUAGUUGAUAUGACACUGCUAUGCCUGUGGUUCCCAUGUUGUCUACUGUCUUGAAACCAUCUUAGUCUGAGAAGAAUUUUUCCUUGCCCAAGGAACAAAGUAAAGUUGUACAUAGCAAUACAUUGAGACAUUAAAAGAUUUUACCCAGUUCUCUUUACUUCCUGUGUACUUUUUUUCUGUCAGCUCUUACUCAUUCUCAUAAGUGGAAAAGAAGGAAGUUUUGCAAAAUAUCCCUUGCAGGGACGUGAAAAGAUGUGCAUAAACAAUAUAGUAAACUUAAAAGAUUGCAUAAGGAUUUGGGUAUCCCUGGAAAUCAUGGCUUGAAAAGAUCUUCAUCAUGAACAGGCAACAACUUAGUAGUGAAUUUGUAACUUGAUGUCCAAAGAUGAAAAAUGUUCCUUUGUGUGCAGAAAUUCAUUGUAGCUUCAUGUGUACAAGAUGUUGCAGAUGGAGGACAAUAGGAAAGGGCUGGAAGAGUUUGGUUUAGAAUCAUUUUGUAUAGCAAGUGGGUUAGAAAAGAGAAAGUGGGGGCUGGGAAUUAGCUCUAUUGGCUGCCCAUGAUGGAGAUUCUGAGUUCAAUUCCAAGCUGUGGGCCCCCCCCCCCAAAAAAAAGUAGUUAUGGGGGGAAGGAGUGAAAUGGAAUUAAGAGACUGUCUUAGUGGCUGAGCUCACAAGAGACAAAAGACCAUGGCUGAUUCCCAGUAAUAGGGUGUGAGUAUUGCUAAAAAGCAGUUGUGCCUCCUCCUCUGGACCUUGACAGGUACCUUAGUCCUGACUUGGUGAAAACAAAUAACAGAUUAUUCUGCUCUGCUGCAAAACUUAGAAGAAUGGGGUUUUUUUUAUAAUCUUAAAAGUCAUUUUGAAUGGCUUGAGUAAUUUUGUUACAGAAGCUGUCAUGUAGGACUUGUGUUAACUAAAGUUAAUAUGGUAGAUUACAAUUAUUUUCAAUCACUGUAUAUUAAUUUUAUCUUAACAUUUCAUCUUAACAUUAACAUCUCUAUGAGAUAUUCCCAAGUUGGGGAAGCAGGCGGGAAAGUAUACAGGUGAUCAAAUUGACAGGGGUAAAUGAGGCAGCCAAUGUGAACAUUUAGGAGGUCUGGCCAGGUGGGAUGAUGCAUGCUUGUAAUCCCAGUUAUCAGAAGGCUAAGGCAGGAGGAUUGCCCUGAGUUCAAGGCCAAGCUGAACUGCACAGUGAGACCCUGUGUCAAAAAGUCAAAAUCUAGGAAAUCUGGUUCAGGAACCAGUUUUCUUAACUGCUAUGCUGCCUUCUAGGCCAGCUUUCAUUAUAUGUUAGCAUAGUGGGAAUGUAAAAUGAUGUUACCACUGAGCAGAAAUAUUUGGGGGGUUUUAAUAUCUGAAUUUACCUAAAAAUACAAAUUCCAUUUGAUCCAGCUAUACACUACUUAUGAAUAUCUUCCCAAAAGAUUUAACCAUAAUUCUAAAUGAAAUCAGACACACAAGACUUAAAUAUCACAAUUUCUCAUAUGAGAAAUAGUAUAAGGAGCAAAGUAAAGAUAGUAGGGAAAACUAAGUUUAUACCUUUUCUCAGAUUUUGUGGGAUAAAUCACAUUUCUGUUCCAAUAAAAAGUUUAUAAAAAUUUCAGAAAGCUUUACCCUAAUAUACUCUCACCAGAAAGAGAGGUAUGCAAAGAAGUCACAACGUUAGUUCUUGAGUGGUAUUUUCAGUGAUUUUUUUCCUGUAAUUUCACUUUUAGUUUCAAACAAGUUCUUUUAAAAUAAAAAUUCUGUGUUGGUUUUUUACGUUAAAAUCAGUCAUCUAGUCACUUUUUAGAGAAGAUGUAUUUCAAAAUGAUUGAGAAAAUGUCAGUAAAUCAACAUUCUAUUAGAUGUAAUUAAAUAAUUAUUUUCAGAGACAGCCUAGAGAACUGGGAUAUUGAGUAAUUACAUAUUGCUAAGGAUGCAGCAAUGCCAGUAUUGUCAGGAAGCCUAAAAAUGGAGUGAUGAGCUUCCUAACGCAUUUCAUUGUGUUAGCAUUAGGAUCUAAGAAAUACUUUUAAAAUGUAAUGAUACAACCUCACCUAUGACAGAUGUGAAACAAUACAUAAUGCAAAUAUCUCAACAAAUUAGCAAAAUAGGUGUCAUCACUGUGACUUAGCUCUGCUUUGGUAAAUUAAUAGACUCGAGUGAAAUAGAACACAAAUUUUUGGCAUAACUUGGAAAAGUGUAGGCAAAAUUAUCAAUAUUAGCAUUCAAAAUAGUUGUCUGCGAUAAUUUUUAGAAAAAUUACUAGUAAGACUUCUGUGAGGUAAUUUAACACAUUAUGAAAUGAUUUUCCUAGAUACAAACAAGUUGCAAAACAAAAAUUGUAAAAUAGUUAACAGUGAAAAACAUCUAGAAAAAAAUUCAGAGACACUGAGAGUGAAAGGUAGAAAUGCUUUCCAAAAUUGCCUAGGAAUUGAAAGAUGGAGGGUCAUUUUUUCCCAUGCCUUUGUGAGGUUAACCACCCCAAACUGGGUAGCAUAUGUAUAUUGAUACCUAUAGGCUUCCUUAGCCAAGGAUACAAUACAGAUACAACAAGGGAUGUUGUGUGGUGGUUUAUAUUGCUGGUCAGUGCAUAGAAUCUGUUGCCUCAGAAGUGACAAGGUGGGAUCAAGGAGAUUUAAAAUGGUGCACAAAAGGUGUCAAAUGGAACGCAGUUCCUGCACUUAUGCUUGUGUCUUGCAUUAAUCCCAGCUUAAUCACAAAAGUGCCCAUCAAAGCUGUUGCCGGGCAGAAUCAUGACACUGUAAAAAAGAAUUAGCUGCUCCUCCAGCUUUUGUCAUUGAUACUCAGCCUUUCCUUCACCAUCCAUUCCUUCUAGAUUCCUAGAUCUCUGCCUUACUAGCAUUUCUGUUUCAGUUACUGAUAGGUGGUACUACCUGGACACUGAAACUUGAGACGGGCUCCUUGCCAUAUACUUUCUGGCCUUCCGCUACUCCAGUUUUUCAUUAAGUGAGCAUAAAAAGUAUAGAUGUAGCCUGGUGAGUCCCCUGAGCUCAGUAAAAACUGCCUCUUUUUAUACCUGUUACUCUAGCUCAUGGUUAUCAGGACAAGUCGUAGUCACCAUAACAGUACCACCUCCCACUCUUAAUUGUUCCUUCAUGAAGGAGGCCAAAAUUAUUAGGUGGUAAUUGUAGCAUCAAAUUAAUUUCAUCAAGUUCUUUGCAUACUCAUAAUGAAACCAUUUCUUGUCCCCUACUUACAGACCAGGACCUCAGAUACGGAAGACCUAAAGUUUCAGAGCUAGGGAGUACAGAUUCUGCAAAUAGAUCGCAAGUAAUGGUUUGAGAGAUUCUCGGACUGAGCAGUUACUGGAUCCUCCAGCUCUUGAGCACACAGAUGGCCAUCAUGGGCUUUCACUUCUGAUCCUGUAAGCCUACCUUAUAAAGCCCCUUGUGUUUAAAAAAAAAUUAUCUAUCUAUACAUAUACUAUAUAUUUUACCAAUUGCAUUUCUCUAGAAAACUAAUAUAGUAUCUUAUGUUGGCCAUUGAUUUUAGUGCAUACUUCAUGGUGGCUUAUCUUGACCCAGGAGGGAUUGUCCCUGGCCUGAUGCUUGUUUGAGCCUUAAUGAGGCUAUUGUAUGUGGUGUUAGCAUUUUUGUAAUUAUGAUGAUCCUGGAUGAAGUGUAUUACUUAAGACUAUUGGACAGUGUGUUAGUGGCCUCAACUUUGCCAUAAAAUAAAUCUCUUGGUUUGAGGAAUAUGGGGGAUAUUAUACGUAACUGGAGAUUCUGUAAGUGUUCAGAUAGUGAUGGUGAUAGAAAAACUGAGCAAAGAAAACAAACUCACUUCUGGAAAGGGUCUAUUUAAGGAAGGACAAAUUGUUGUUUCCUUCUUAGUUUAAAUCUUGAGUCAAGAUAAUUAGUCUCCCAAGUGUUUGGCUAGGCUCUCAGUGCGUGACAGGUGAUUGCUACACCUGACUUAGAGAGCCUGCCUACUUCUAGACUAGUGUGGGGAGGACAAACUUCUCUGUUUAAAUCAUUGUUGUUAUAACAGUUUAAACUUACUUGAACUAAUGCAGACAUUAUCAGGAAAUGGGGUGUUUCUGCAAUACAAAAUUGAAGUAGAUUAUUGAUUGGUAAUUGAAGGGUAAAGAAAGAUAGGGCAGGCUGUCGAGUAAUUACCAGGUAAAAGUGAGCCACUGCAAGCAAAAGGAAAGGGAAUCCAGUUCUGCUGAUGACUCAUCCUAAAAUAAACAUCUGGAUUGGCUGAUUUGACAAUAUUUCAGGAACUCACAGAUUGGAAAACCAACUCUGUACCUUAAAACAGGAAAUACCUUUGUCCCUUAGCAUUUCUCAAAAGCCUCUAGUAUAUGUUCUCAACUAGCAAGUAGGAAUCCGCUCUACAAGGUAGUUUAAGGGCAUUCCACUCCUUCCUGAACCUAAUUAUUCUAGGUGGGCUCAAGGUAGUCAUCACUAAAUUGAGAGGUGAAUAUUGUCUUAGUUACUUUCCCGGUGCUAACACACAAUACCUGACACAACUCAAAGGAGAAGAGGUUUACUUUUUGCUCAUACUUUGUAGAGGUUACAGUCCGCAGUUGGUGACUCCUGGCUCCAAGGCAGGACAGCAUGGCAGAGGACAAGUGGCUCAUGGCAUGGCAGCAGGAAGCAGAACCGAGAGAAGAGAUAGAAAUACACUUUUCCAGACCAUGCCCCUAGUGACCCACUGCCUCCCACCAGGCCUUCCUCUCACCACAUUUAGCUAUAAACUCACCAGUUGAUAUGUCCACUGAGGCGUAUCAGGCCCCCAUGAUUCAAACACUUACCCAAAAUCCCAUUAAUGAGUCUUUGGGUGACAGCUAUAAAUCAUAACCAGAAAAUAAAGUAGAAUCUGAAAUUGUUUUUGUUUCUGAGAUAGAUAUGCAGUUCAGGCUACCCUUGUAACCCAAGCUGUCUUCAGGCUCCCAGUACAGUGAUCCUCCUGUCUCAGCCUUCGGAGUGUUAGGAUUACAGGGAUUUGCCAUCAUGACUUAAGUCAGAAGUUUUAAGAACAGUAACAUGACUUGAUUUUUGAGAAUGCCUUAACAUGGAAGUGAAUGUAAGUCUAAGAGACAACUCAAAUUUGAGAGUAGAUUAUUUUCCAAAGAAAUCCCAGUCAUGGUUCCUGUCUCCAACAAUUCCCAGUUGUAAACUACCAGCAGAAAAAAUACUGUUGAAGCCACAUAAUCACCAAGAGGGUGACUCAACAGCUCAUUUCAGAGGUGUGCCAAUUCACUUACACUUUUCAGCUGUAAAUUCUUCUUUGCCUAUAUGUUGGCCUUCAAAUAGUUUCCACCUAACAGGAGUUGGUAUGGUAUUGAGCUUUAUCAAUAAAAGUUUCUGGAGAGUUUGCAUGAGGAACGAGUAUUCUUUCCUGAUUUGGUGUGUUCAUCUGGUAGGCCCUUGUGACGUGGAUAACUUCUCCAUUGCCCAGAUCCUUCAGGGUACGUCUGUGAGCGGCACCCAGAGACAACAGCUUCAUCACGUAGCUGCAUAGUGAUGUGUCUAUAGCAAAAUGCCACCCAAUGAACAGUUACUAACACUUGAGCAGUGAUGACAAACCCAUGGCAUGCAUGCUGUAGCUGGCUGUUGUCAUUGAAAGCGCUAAAAAGCUCACCAUCACUGCUCUAAAGAGUGGAUUUCUGGUAAAUUCUGGUGGCUCAACCCUAUGGUGACUAACCUUGUCAUGUGUGAGAGAGAGUUCUGUGGGGCUUGUCCUGGAGGAUCUAUUUCAGGCCUAGAGAUAGUGGCUGCUGUUUGUAUCUAAUAUUCCUAUAUUCCUUUGAGUUCUCUGUAGUUCUAACUGGCAAGUCCUGCUUUUAGUAAUUAUUUGUAAUGAGCUUUCAGUGUUCAAAUCAGUGUGUGUGUGUGUGUGUGUGUGUGUGUGUUUCCUGAUCGGGGCCAAAUGGAUAUGACACCACAGUAGAAAAUAGAUAAAGAGAAUGAAUUUUCCGAAUGAUAAAUCCAGUGACCAUGGGGUGGCAGUAGUCAAAGGAAUUCCUGCAGGAAAUCAGAACCAGAGUUUAAGCAAGGAAUUUACUAAAUUUCCUGGGAAGGAAGCCUUCUGAAUUUCUGCCAAACUGAAAAUCAUAGUGAUUGCUAUUUCCCAUUUAUUUUCAUUAUGGUAGUUUCCCUUAUGGUGUUGUAUGCUACUCCACCAUUUUGCAUUGAGAUGUAUUGGAUUGCAAUUAACUUGUAUAAUAAUAAUAGUUGUUGGUCCUUGAGACCUUUGUAUCAAGAGGCAAAAAAUACUCAGAGAUCUCAGAUUUUGAACUGGGAACAAGGAUGAUCUUUAGUUGCAUUCCUUGGGGAAGACCUGUGUUUUUCAUAUGGGAGGAUUGUUGCAUUUGGAUACUUGGUCUAGAGGCUAAAGGUAGGUAGUAACUUCUAAUUGUUCCCCAAUAUAUGUUCCCUAUUUUCAUUUCAGUAAUAAAACACCUUGAAUUUUUGCUGAGUGUCUGCCCAACUGGAGACUACAUUUUUCCGAUUUCCUUGAUGGAUAGUAAGGCUGAAUUCUUGACAAUAGGAUGUGACAAGUGAUACAUGUUACUUCCCAGUCUUGUUUUAACACAGAUGUAUGCUGCUUGUGAACCAGUUUUGAACAUGUAGUCAAGGAGAGACUUUGGGAGUGGUUGAAGAACCCACAUAGAAAACCUGGGUUGCUGAAUGUGCCCUUGUGAAGCAGAGACUCCUGGAUUGCUUGCUUGCUUCUCGAAUGAUGUGUAAAAGAAUAAUAAAACUCCUCACUUUUUGUGUGUGUGUGGUUUAUUUUUUUUUGAGCUAGUCUGUUCCUGGUCUUUUUGUUACAUCAGCUAACCUGUUCUCUAACACUGUUGUUGUCACAUUUGUUUCAAAUGAUACGUAUUUCUUUCAAAUCUGACAUGAACUUUUACAGUGUUUCUUUCCCUUGAGCCUUCUUCUACCAUUUUUUUUUCCAGGCAGAAGUGUUUGCAG